CUUCAGGUCUGACAAAUAUCAGCUUAGGAAACCUUGUAGAGCAAAUGAUUACUGAAGACAUUGGAACAAGGGUGCAUGAAUAUCCCUUUCUUUAUGCUCGUAUUUUCACCUCAGUUGCUAAGUUCUCCACUGUGAUCAGCCAUGGAGUUCUUGAGCAUUAUCUCUCUGCUGCAAUCCAGGCAGUUGGCAUGGAUGUCAGGCC
Molecule: unclassified non-coding RNA, 202 nt
Filed under: Hevea brasiliensis (rubber tree)
Lineage: Eukaryota; Viridiplantae; Streptophyta; Magnoliopsida; Malpighiales; Euphorbiaceae
Source: RNAcentral